This 253-nucleotide ribosomal RNA is filed under the name uncultured bacterium. RNAcentral's name for it is "partial 16S ribosomal RNA". It matches the Rfam family "Bacterial small subunit ribosomal RNA", at positions 524 to 776 of the family's 1533-position model. The record is from RNAcentral.
UACGUAGAGGGCGAGCGUUAUCCGGAUUCACUGGGUGUAAAGGGAGCGUAGACGGCCAAGCAAGCCAGGGGUGAAAGCCCGGGGCCCAACCCCGGGACUGCCCUUGGAACUGCAUGGCUGGAGUGCGGGAGGGGCAGGCGGAAUUCCUGGUGUAGCGGUGAAAUGCGUAGAUAUCAGGAGGAACACCGGCGGCGAAGGCGGCCUGCUGGACUGCGACUGACGUUGAGGCUCGAAAGCGUGGGGAGCGAACAGG